GGUCUGAUGCCACGUCGCCGGUAGCGAAAGGGCUAUGACCGGCGAUGCUAUGAUCGGACCGACAGAAAUUCCAUGUUUCGCUGUUGAUAGGAACCUGCGGAUCUCAAUUUACUAAUGGUCUGCGGAGCCGUUUUAUGCGAUUACAUUC
Non-coding RNA from Punica granatum (pomegranate), 148 nucleotides. The record is from Rfam. NCBI's taxonomy places the organism in Eukaryota, Viridiplantae, Streptophyta, Magnoliopsida, Myrtales, Lythraceae.